RNAcentral lists this long non-coding RNA (1128 nucleotides) under Triticum aestivum (bread wheat). RNAcentral's name for it is "long non-coding RNA (TAES_LNC003772)". Lineage: Eukaryota; Viridiplantae; Streptophyta; Magnoliopsida; Poales; Poaceae. The record is from RNAcentral.
UAAUAUUUCUGAAAUUUAAUAUAAAAAUUGUAUUAUUUAAAAAAAUUAGCUAGAAAUAACAGCGUGAAACGCGGUAAUCCAUGAGAUUUCGCUAAAACAUGUGAUACAAUUAUUCAAGAAUUUCGGCUGGAAAUGACAGCAGAGGAUGCAAUGAUCCAGGGCUAUCAUCAAACAGCAGCCAGGGACAAGUGUAUAUACAACUGAAAAGGUGCAGAACUAUCCUAUGAUUGAUGGACAUCUAAGAUUUCGCAGCCCCGAAGACCAGACCGACGGUCCAGGUGAAGAUUGAUCCGAUUACCCACAAGAGCAGGAAGAACACAACGAUACCAGCCAAAAUGGUGAGGACUGGCGGGCCAUCCGGAGAAGCGCUGGCGUCACCAGUGCUGCUCUGUUUUGAAACCUCGGUGCUAGGAGAAUCUGAAUCUGAUGCAAACAGAGUCUUCUUUGGGUCUUCUGUCCUCAACCUUGUUGCAUUCUGAAACCACCCGGAAUUUCUUGCCAAAGGGUAAGGAUGCCUGCAGUACAAAACAACUAGAGUGACAUACUGAUAUAGGUUUCCUUGCCAUUUCACUUAACAUGGAGAGAACCGAUGUGCGUAUGGGCACAGAUAGGUGCCCUUGCCUAUUCGCAUUCAAUUUCCAGGGCCCAUUCUCUUAGCCUGCGCGGAGACAAGCAAAGAAGAAAUGGAACCAACACAGGCACUGUCGUUCUUCAAAAUAACAGCACUUGCUGCCAUGAGCCAAAGAUAUAGCCAGAAAUAACAGCGUGAAACGCGUUAAUCCAUGAAAUUUGGCUAGAAAUAUGUGAUACGAUUAUUCAAGAGUUUCGGCUGGAAAUGACAGCAGAGGAUGCAAUGAUCCAGGGCUAUCAUCAAGCAUCAGUCGGGAACAAGUGUAUAUACAACUGAAAAGGAGCAGAACUAUCCUAAGAUUGCUGAACAUCUAAGAUUUCGCAGCCCCAAAGACCAGACCAACGAUCCAGGUGAAGAUCAAUCCGAUUAUCCACAAGAGCAGGAAGAACACAGCGAUACCGGCCAGAAUGGUGAGCACUGGCGGCCCAUCUGGAGAAGAGUCGGUGUCGCCAGUGCUGCUCUGUUUCGAAACCUCGGUGUUAGGGGAAUCUGUCUCU